GACUAUAAUGAAACCUCGGUCAUAGUUCAAACAGCCGGGGGACUCUGGUCAAGUUAGUUUUAAGAUGGGGAGGAAACCGUAACAUCCAAGUUUUGCUAUUAUAAAUUCAAACAUGUUUUUUUUUUAUUUCGUGCACACACAAAUGGUUUAUUGCGUUUCGACCAAACAGGAAAUUGACAUCUUCCUCAUUAUUUGAACCAUACAUCUAAUGUGCGUUCUAACAUGGCAAGCGCACCAUAAGUUUACCUAACUACGCCCCUAACCAGGAGUUGUAAACCAUAGGGACUUUGUCGUCAUUUUUGGUGGAAGGUGUAAAGGAAACAAAAUGUCCAUGACCAUAUUUGUAAGGACGUUAACAGGAAAGACCGAAACCUUAAACGUAAAAAAGGCGGACACAAUGAGGCAUGUUUUAGAGACUAUAUCAGAAAGAUUGGGUAUGGUACUAAGGCAAGUUCGACUUAUGUUUAGUGGCAAAGAAUAUAGACAGGAUAUGCCAGAGACACAUACACGGUUAGAGGAAAUAGGAAUCAAGGAUCGGCAAACUUUACUCAUGGUGUCACGAUUACGCAAAGGACCAUGCUCUUCCCACCCUUCCCACUACAAUUAAAUUGUUGUUUGAAAUUGAUUAUCUUAUGGAUAAGCAUUUUAAAAGUAAUUAGUGUUUAA
Molecule: long non-coding RNA, 666 nt
Organism: Magallana angulata
Lineage: Eukaryota; Metazoa; Mollusca; Bivalvia; Ostreida; Ostreidae
Exons: 3
Source: RefSeq, a predicted model, not a curated record